This 393-nucleotide ribosomal RNA is filed under the name uncultured bacterium. RNAcentral's name for it is "bacterial SSU rRNA". It matches the Rfam family "Bacterial small subunit ribosomal RNA", at positions 28 to 425 of the family's 1533-position model. The record is from RNAcentral.
GACGAACGCUGGCGGCGUGCUUAACACAUGCAAGUCGAGCGGAAAGGCCCUUCGGGGUACUCGAGCGGCGAACGGGUGAGUAACACGUGAGUAACCUGCCCCAGACUUUGGGAUAACCCUCGGAAACGGGGGCUAAUACCGAAUAUUACUUCCGGUCGCAUGGCUGGUGGUGGAAAGUUUUUCGGUUUGGGUAGUGGACUCGCGGCCUAUCAGCUUGUUGGUGAGGUAAUGGCUCAUCAAGGCGAGGACGGGUAGCCGGCCUGAGAGGGCGACCGGCCACACUGGGACUGAGACACGGCCCAGACUCCUACGGGAGGCAGCAGUGGGGAAUAUUGCACAAUGGGCGGAAGCCUGAUGCAGCGACGCCGCGUGAGGGAUGACGGCCUUCGGUUG